UACGGAGGGGGCUAGCGUUGUUCGGAAUUACUGGGCGUAAAGCGCACGUAGGCGGCUUUGUAAGUUGGAGGUGAAAGCCCGGGGCUCAACUCCGGAAUUGCCUUUAAGACUGCAUCGCUCGAAUUGUGGAGAGGUAAGUGGAAUUCCGAGUGUAGAGGUGAAAUGCGUAGAGAUCCGGAGGAACACCAAAGGCGAAGGCAGUGUCCUGGGGAGUACCUGACGCUCAGGUGCGAAAGCCAGGGGAGCGAACGGG
This 253-nucleotide ribosomal RNA is filed under the name uncultured bacterium. Its description in RNAcentral is "partial 16S ribosomal RNA". It matches the Rfam family "Bacterial small subunit ribosomal RNA", at positions 524 to 776 of the family's 1533-position model. The record is from RNAcentral.